This is a long non-coding RNA of Nomascus leucogenys (northern white-cheeked gibbon), 1079 nucleotides long. RefSeq lists it as uncharacterized. The transcript has 4 exons. Lineage: Eukaryota; Metazoa; Chordata; Mammalia; Primates; Hylobatidae. The record is from RefSeq and is a predicted model, not a curated record.
GGGAUGCUGUUGUGUUCUGGGUGUAGCACCCACCCAGCCAUGCUGAAACAAUGCCAUGGCCAACAUCCCUUCAGCUGUCCAGCCAGACUUGCCUGAAGCCAUCUGUACCUGCGGCCAUGCCUGUGUGCUUUCUUUGGCUUCUGGCUUUCUUUGCCGUUCCUUGUUUUCCUUUUGAAAAAUCCAACAUGGUCUGGAAAGCAUAUGACCACAGUUCAGUGGGGUUAGGGAGGGGAUCAGCGUGUCCGGUAAGGCUGCUAAGUGAGGUCCUUGAGUUGGGUGAGAAGUUGCCCUAGGUUGGGGGCAACCUAGGAUGUGGGUGAGACCUGGGGAAGGUGAGGCCCACAGAACCUUCCCUACGGGGGCUUUUCCUCCCCGCUUCCUCCUCCCCCCAACUCUCUUUCUGUCCACCCUUGUUGUUCUCUGAUCCACUUAUUCAGCAGACUCAAUGGGGGCCCUUGGUGCCAGGCCCUGAGAGGGCCCCUGAGGUACAGAGAUAAAUACGGCACUAUUUUAGGCCACAGGUGACUGCGAGCACCUUGAGCACAGGGAGCUGGCCUACCUUGUUCAUCACAGCAUUCCCAGCACCUGCUGAAUGAACGAACGAAUGAAUGCACAGAUGCAGCCAUGCCACCCCUGUCUCCGGGAGCUCACAUACAGGAAGGCAUGCUUAUUAGAGGAAAUACAGAGAAGUAGAAAGAAGAAAAUAAAACACCACCACCUAUGGCAAAUGAGACUAAAACAGAGAUGGGAAUAAGAAUCCCUUUCAACAUCACGGGAGGAUUGUCUGAAUAAGAUGAGCUGAUGCUCGUAAAGAGCCUUUCAUGGAUCAUCUCAUGAAUACAUAACGAGGCCGCGCUCAGGCGCAUCUGGCCCGGCCAGCGCCUCCGCCACCUAAUCUCGUCCAUGCUCCAAUAUCCAGGCGGCCCAGCUGGGGCCUGCCUUAAAGGAGCCGCUUCCCUUUCCUGCCUGGGGAUGCCAGGCCAGCCUGGCACCAGGCACCACCGAGACCCGGCCAUGAAGGGGGAUGGCAGACCUGGGGAAGGAAGAAGUCCUAAGACUCUGGAUUGCAGUGUAUCCAG